AUGAGGGCCCCCGCUCAGCUUCUCAGCCUCUUGUUUCUCUGGCUCCUAGGAUCCAGUGGGGAUAUUAUGAUGACUCAGAUUCCACUCUCCCUGUCUGUCAUCCCUGGGAGCCGGCCUCCAUCUCCUGUAGGUCUAGUCAGAGUCUCCUACAUAGUAAUGGAGACAUCUAUUUGCAAUGGUUCCCACAGAACCCAGGCCAGUCUCCAAGGCACCUGAUCUAUAGGGUAUCCAAUCAGAACUCUGGGGUCCCAGACAGGUUCAGUGGCAGUGGGUCAGGGACAGAUUUCACACUCAAAAUCAGCAGGGUGGAGGCUGAGGAUGUUGGAGUUUAUUACUGCUCUCAAGGUACACAAAGUCCUCGGACGUUCGGUGCCGGGACCAAGCUGGAAAUCAAACGGGAUGAUGCUAAGCCAUCUGCCUUCAUCUUCCCACCGUCUUCUGAGGAGUUAAGCAGUGGAAGUGCCUCUGUCGUAUGCUUGGUGUAUGGCUUCUACCCCAGUGGAGCCACUAUCAACUGGAAAGUGGAUGGUCUUGCCAAAACAAGUAGCUUCCACAGCAGUCUGACGGAGCAGGACAGCAAGGACAACACCUACAGCCUCAGCAGCACCCUGACGCUGCCCAAAGCAGACUACGAAGCUCAUAAUGUCUAUGCCUGCGAGGUCUCCCACAAGACCCUGAGCUCCCCCCUGGUCAAGAGCUUCAAUAGGGAAGAUUGUUAGAGAGGCCGGCCCACCAGGCCCAUCGCCUGAGCCUCAGCCCCAGCCUCCCUUCUCCCUCAGGCCUUGGCCCGUUUCCGAGAGACCUACCCUCAUUGCAGUCCUCCAGCCCCUCUCCCCACUUCACCCCCCUCCCCCUCUUUGGCUUUAAUCAUGCUAAUAUUUGGGGGGAAAUGAAAAAAUAAAGUGAAUCUUUGCACCUGUGA
Non-coding RNA from Equus caballus (horse), 922 nucleotides. The record is from RefSeq and is a predicted model, not a curated record. Lineage: Eukaryota; Metazoa; Chordata; Mammalia; Perissodactyla; Equidae.